Molecule: RNA transcript, 1553 nt
Organism: Xiphias gladius (swordfish)
Lineage: Eukaryota; Metazoa; Chordata; Actinopteri; Istiophoriformes; Xiphiidae
Gene: cops7a
Gene name: COP9 constitutive photomorphogenic homolog subunit 7A
Exons: 9
Source: RefSeq, a predicted model, not a curated record
CAUCGACACUUGUUCCCGCCCCUUAUUCUUUACUAUCCAAUCAGAGACUACGGUGCUUUGUUGUCGUACGUGCGCUGAUAUCGGAACUGAACAAUCGAGAGGGUGCCUUUCUCGUAGAAACCAACACAACAAGAUGGAGGUGGACCAGCUCCUGUCUCUGUCAGGCUCAGCACUGGCCCAGGCUAUCAGCUCUCUGCUGGAGACCCCAGGCCUCUAUGUCUUCUCUGACAUCCUGGAACUGCCCAAUGUCAGAGAGCUGGAGAAUGGCCCUCAUGCACCAGUGUACCAGCUCCUGAACCUCUUUGCCUAUGGAACCUACUGCGACUACAAAGAGAGAGCAGCCUCUCUUCCAGAGCUGACCCCCGCUCAGAGAAACAAACUCCGCCAUCUGUCGAUCAUCAGCUUGGCUUCCAACCUCAAGUGCCUGCCGUACUCGCUCCUUUUGCAGCAGCUGGAACUGAAGAAUGUGCGGGAGCUGGAGGACUUGCUGAUUGAGGCGGUUUACUGUGACAUCAUCCAAGGUAAACUCGACCAGAGGAACCAGCAAGUGGAGGUAGAUUGCAGCGUGGGUCGAGACCUCGGCCCCAACGAGCUCCCAAACAUAAUCAACACGCUGCAGGAGUGGUGUACAGGGUGUGAGGCAGUGUUGUGUGGUAUCGAGGAGCAGGUCUCAAGGGCAAACCAAUACAGAGAGAGCCAGCUGAAGGUCAAAGUCCAAGUGGAAACAGAGGUUUCAAACCUACAGAAAACGCUGAAGGCCAGCGCGGCCUCUCCUUCGUCAGGCCCAGCCCCUGCUGGAGCUGCCUCCAACCAGGAUGCAGACCAGCCUGCUGAGCCACGAGACCCUGCCUCCUCUCAGGAACCUCGACAACCAGGCAAAAAAAGUUCAAAGGUGAAAGGGCUGCGUGGCAGUGGGAAGAUCUGGUCCAAGUCCAACUGAAGACAAAAGAAAGACAGCGUCGCUGAAGGACAGUCUCACUGAUGAAUGGACACAUGGACAUGAUUGCUGCACCGUCUGCUGGUACGUGUCUCGUAACUAGACGGUCAUUAAAACUUCGGAGUGGAACCCUGCCAAUCAGUUACUUUGAUUCAUCAGUAAAAUGCCCAGAGGAGAUGGAAACACUGGCUGUGCAGAAGACUGAUGGAGAAUCUCAAUACACUCGAGUGGCAUUUCUCCUCUCGUGCCCGCCUUGAUUUUAUUGGCAUUUGUUUGAAAAACUGUACACACAGGAAACUCUUGCUUAGCAUCCUGUUAAUCUUUCUGAAGCGAGAGGAAUCCAUAUGAGGUGAAGAGAUAAGGGAAAGCCUCAGACACAAGCAGAUGCCUUAUUCUUCACCCUUUUCAGCUGCUCCUCACUGGUAAAAAUAUGAUUGGCAAAUGCAAGACUUUUUAAUGCCAAACCCAUGCUUCCAAAUCAAUGCAAGGCGGUGGACUAAAUGUUCACUUCAUGGAGAAAAAGAUUAGGAUGCAGAGGUAGCUAUUAAAAUGCACAGUGUAAGCUUUAUCCUUCCCAUAAAGCACUGCAGAGCCCAGCUCCCCGGGGACUUCAUUC